CAUGAUUUUCUUUCAUUAAAAACAAAAUUUAUUGCAUAAUUCAUAACAUGUAUUUUAUGUCAUAUGGCGCAAUGUUGAAAUUGGCCUCUAGCAAGCAAAGCGCCUGUUUGACAAUGGCCUGAGCUUAGCCUAAGCUCUUUAUAGCCCAUCAGGCCUUAAAUUUUAGUCUACAAUGGCACUAUAGCAUUUCUGUGGUGCCAAAGUAAUUCUAUGAUAGUUAUAUAAUCUUUUCCCCAUCAGUUCAGACUACCAAAAUUUAGUCCAACCUUUUGUUUUUAU
Molecule: unclassified non-coding RNA, 279 nt
Filed under: Hevea brasiliensis (rubber tree)
Lineage: Eukaryota; Viridiplantae; Streptophyta; Magnoliopsida; Malpighiales; Euphorbiaceae
Source: RNAcentral